GUCUUUUUAGUAUAGCUAGUAUAAGUGAUUUCCAAUCACCCGGCCUUGGUUAAAUCCCAAGAAAAGAUA
Molecule: transfer RNA, 69 nt
Filed under: Phyllopteryx taeniolatus (common seadragon)
Lineage: Eukaryota; Metazoa; Chordata; Actinopteri; Syngnathiformes; Syngnathidae
Description: tRNA-Gly
Rfam family: tRNA
About the family: Transfer RNA (tRNA) molecules are approximately 80 nucleotides in length. Their secondary structure includes four short double-helical elements and three loops (D, anti-codon, and T loops).
Source: RNAcentral